Xyrichtys novacula (pearly razorfish) is the source of this 105-nucleotide non-coding RNA. NCBI's taxonomy places the organism in Eukaryota, Metazoa, Chordata, Actinopteri, Labriformes, Labridae. The record is from the annotation of a GenBank genome assembly.
ACACACACACGCACACACACGCUUCCUCCUUCAUUGUCCCCGCAACCUCUCAUCUAAGGGGAUCUAAACCACUUAUCCCAUCAGUGUGUGUGUGUGUGUGUGUGU